Molecule: long non-coding RNA, 21236 nt
Filed under: Trifolium pratense (red clover)
Lineage: Eukaryota; Viridiplantae; Streptophyta; Magnoliopsida; Fabales; Fabaceae
Description: long non-coding RNA (TPRA_LNC000008)
Source: RNAcentral
CCAUCAUUCACACUCAUGAGUAAGUUACAUGUCUAAUUAAUUUUCAAGGUUUGAAGCCAAGGUAGUGAGGAACAUGAAGAGCCUUCAACCAGGUGGCUGCGGACGUUUCAUUAGCCUGGAGCCAUUUAUCAGCAGUGAACUUUAUAGCCUCGGCCUGGCUAAUGUUGCCGUGAUAACCCUUCCACUUGAUCCUUCCGGAAAGAUUGGCACCAGGUCCAGUGUUGGCAUACUCUGCUAUGUAACAUGCGUCCAUAAAUAGAUCAGUACCGUUCUCUUUCCAAGGGAUCCAUCCAUCCGAAUUAAUAAAACCAUCGAUGAAGGAUUCCAUGAAGACUGUCCUUGAAUUAUUCUUCCAUGGCCUGCCCAAGUAAGUUGGGAUUUGGUCCUUUACAGGGACCAAAUCUUCCUCUGCGAGGAUCUGGCAGUCCUGGAUCACAAUACCAGUGUUCAACUUCUUGGAAUCAUCUGAUCCGUCUGCGGUAAUUGUGUUAUUUUGACCGCUAUUGGGCUUCCUUACGUAGAUCGUAGAGUGUUGGAUCAAGGUGUUAGAUGUUCCAAAGAUGAAAUCGAUGGUACCAGAGAUAACACAGUCGCGGUAGAAUUGCCUAUUGGAUUGAACGUACAAGGUGUCUUGGUAACCUACAAAUUCGCAACCAACGAAAGCAGACAUAUCUCCUUGGUUUCUCAAAGCAACGGCUUGAUGACCAUCAGGACCGAUUGUGUUCCGAAAUGUCAUUGCCUUUGCAAUGAACCCACGUGCAGUGUUGACUGCACACACGAAUGGAUAAUCAAUUAGAAAUGUCAUCCAUAAUGUAUAUAAAAUAAAAUAAAGUUACGACGAGAAUUGAAUUACGUACCAAAGGUGCCGGUGUACAUGGUCUUGAUAUUAGCUAUGCCAUAGUUCCUACUACCGGUGAUAAUGGUCAUUUGAGGGCCAUCACCAUACAUAGUCAAAUUAACGCAAUGUUUGGUGACAUUGACCUGCUCGUCAUAGACACCAGCCUUAACGUAGAUAAUAUAUCUUCCUUUGUUUCCCUUAGGGUAAGAAUUAAUAGCAUCCAUAAUUGUUUUAAAUUGGCCAGUACCAUCCUUGGCAACAACAACAUUAGGCUUAAUUUUUGAUCUCCAUCCUUUUCGUUGCAUUUGAGCCAAAAGCUUGCGGUCAGUAGCGGAGAUCCAUGUAGGGAAUCCUUGCUCAUUAUCAAUUUCCUUAGAUAGAAGACGACGAGAGUCAGGUUUGAGAUCCAAUUUCAAACCGAAUUCUUGGAGUAUGUUGGACAAAUCAGACACAAUGUCAAGAGCAACAACAGUGACCUUUGUCGCGCUGUCUAUAGUCUGAGCAUGUAAUUGAUCCUUAAUUUUCUUCUCACCCUCUUUUUCAUUGUCAAACCCUUCCAUGCAAGCUUGUUUGUAAGAGAUAACUGCACUCAACCAAUUCCUGAGAUCAGCAUUUUGAGCAUGAACAGAUUGAAUGUUUUUGUCACGAACCACGGUGGUGGAGAGAUCAAGACUGUCCAAAGCAAACUCCAUCAUCUCUUUGCAGCCAUCAAGAGCCAUCUUGAUGCCGCUAUCCUUGUCGCCGUACUCAACACUGAGUCUAUCACUCAUGUUAAAUGCCUUAAUGACAUUGUCAGUGGCUGCUUUCAAAGCAGCCGCUAGGUAUGCCUUAGGAUUUGCAGCAUCGGCGCCACAGACAGAGCUAAGAGUUUCAUAGCAGUAUUUUUGGUCUUCUGCAUUUUGGCAAAUAACUCCAAGAUAUCUUUGUUGAGUUUGAAUCUCAGGAUCUUCACCUUUUCUGUGAACAACAACAACAACACCGAUGGCAACACCUACAAUAAGUAUAAGAGAAACAAUAGAUAUAAUUAUCUUUCCUGACAUUUUUUAAUAUUUUGCUCGGAAAUUUUAUUAGAAUAAGACCCCUUCCCCUUGGGUGUUGGGGUGGGGAGGCUUAUUGGAGAUCUUACUGAGAUAUUGAAACAUGUUUAGUUUUUAUAGGUAACACAAAAAAAAUUCAGCCAACCAAAGAGAAAAUCUAUAUUUAGCAAUUUCAUAAAUGAUAGGCACAUAAUUAUCGUUAUGAAUGAGUUGAAAGUUGAAACAAUCUACUGCUAUUUUUUAGUACAGUAGAGCAUUUAUAUUUUAUAUAUGAUUAGCCAUCAUGCGAUAGAUCAUUCAAAAGAGAGAUGUAGAGAAAAUGGAAUGAAAUGCUCCAAUUUGAUCACAAUGAGUUUAUUAGAAUCACAAUUGCAUCGUAAUAUUUUAGAACAUAUACUUUUCAACUUUUGUAAAAUAUUUUAGAAUCUAACAAUUUUUUUUAUGAUAGUACAUAGGGCCGAUCUUUAGACUUUGAGUGCUCUAAACGAACUAAUAAGAUGGUUUUUUUUUUAACUUAAUAAUUUUAUGACAUUUUAUUCAUAGCAAUCGAUCGAAUAUAAUUUGAAAUAUUCAUAUAGCUCCUUCCUGCAACUCUACAACUUCCCAUGAGUUCUUUCCCAAAUAUGGAAAUGAACACUACAACAUCUCCUGAACCCAUAAUCUGUGAGCAUUAGAAAGUAGCCUCAAAUGCAUGGCAUGCAAAUCGGAUACUUUUUUUUUUCUUUAACGAUAAAUUUAUUAUUCAAAUGGAAGAAAGUACAACGAGCACUUUAGCCAAUUACAUAUCUUAUACCAAAUCUUCAUCGCAAACUUACAUGUAAUACAAAUCGGAUUCACAUGCAUCAAACAGCCUCCUGACUGUACAGCAUCAAAUGGUUACAUCUUCAGGUUUGUUCUGUAGACUAAGACAAGCCUGUUUAGUUUAUUUGGUUGUCAUUUUAAAUUAUGUGUUCUGAACAUAAAACUUUUUUGGUUAUUGAUCUGAGUUAUUGAUUUUUUAAAAUUUAUUUUGACUAAAAUUGAAGUAUAGGUAAAAUGAUUUAUGUUUGAAUACAAUAAUUAUAAAAGUGGGUUGAACAAUAAUUUUAAAUGUAAAAAUCAAUUUUUGAAGUAGAGAGACUACAAUUUCUAUUUUCAAAGAGAAAUAAAACAUGUCAAAAUCAAUUAUACAUCUCUAGAAUCAAUUUUGGCAUCACCAAAAGGAGAACCAUUCAUAUAUUGUACUAAUUAAGCUUGAAAGAUAGUUUUUAUUUUUUGUUUUAGUUAAGGACUGUUAUUAAGAAUGAUAAUUCACAAAAUCAAGUAUUAACAAGAGUGAAAUGUAUAAGGCUUGUCUUACCAAAUACUUUAUUUUCUUUAGUAUUAACCCUCUGAUUUCUCGGAGAAGGGGUCCGUCUAUACAAAGUUUAGCGCCGAGGUAAGUAAAAUCUUACUAAGAAUUAUUCCUAUUAGAAUCAAACUCAGAUUUUCCCGAACGAUUUGGCCUAGAGGAAACCCAUUAACCACUUGUGUCCAAUUUUUUUGUUUGACUUGCCAAAUAGUUGAUCAUAAAUGUUUUUGUAUAACAAGUAACAAGAAACUAUAGAGUAAAGACCAAAUUUGCUACAGGUUUGUGGAAAUCAGCACACACAAAGAAGUUCUUUAGUUAAAAAUAAUCAUUUGUUUACAUGAAGAUUAUUAGAUGUGCCCAGGAAAGGAAAACAAAGGGAACACUGGCACUUCAGUGUGCCCAGGAAGAGCGAGAAUAAAAUGGAUUGCCCUUCCUUCAAAGAAUCGGGAUGAGUUCACUUUGCAAUCAGUGAUCAUGUAACUUUUAUUGAUUCAAAUUAUUCAUUUUCACUUACAUUUAAAUAUAAUAUAUUGUAGGAGUAUACUAAGUAUUAAUAACCAUCAAUUGGAAUUGAAGUAUAUAUGAAGUUCCACGCAUGAUUCCUGCUCGGAAGUCAUCAAGGAAGAAAUGGAUUGUGUGAAGGACAGUCCUCCUUUUGCCUUUUGUAAGCCCUGCGUGAAAGUAGCAUAAAGGGUUUCGAUGUUAAUGAAUAAGUGCGAGGUUCAUUUGUAGUAGUAAUAUAUAUACAAAAUACAAAAAAAAUGUGAAACAUAAGCCACGGAAUUUGUAGUCAAGCAAGCACCUUGAAGCAUUGAAGCCACCAAGCGCAACUGUUCCCAGAAUAAUUAAAAGGAAUGGAACUUUAAUCAUGGCAUGAUUUUUUCUUCCUCCAUUGGCUCUUGGAACACCGGUUCUCACAACUCGCCAAUAUUCAGCUGAAAAACAAUCAUGCCACAUUUAAAUAAGGUAAAGAGAAGGAGGAAAAUUGCUUUUAAAUGAUGCACAGAACUGAGGAUUCGGAAUAGGAAUUAACCUGAAUUUGAAGCUUCUCCUUUUCCACCUGUGUUUUGAAUUUUAUUCAGUACUUUGAAAGAAGUUGCAAGACAGAUAUAAAAAAAAGCAGUAGGGAAGAUAAGGGCCUUUUACAAAUAAUAUAAUUUCCCAAUGAGUUCACAUCAAGAAGCUAAGGACCUGUUUUGGUUUCAAUUUUCUCUUCUCAUUUCUAAUUUUCACUUUCAAUUAUAAAAAACAUUGUUUUCACCUUGUUUUGGUUUUCAAAGUAUUUUAUACAUAAUUAUUUGAAAACAGAAAAUAAAAAGCAAAAACAAUGUGAUAUUAUGCAAUUAAAAGUGAAAAGAAAAAAUGAAAAAAAAGAAUGUAAACAGACCCAACAGACCCUUAUCUAUGCUCUAGGUAACUUAAUCACAUGUUGCCACUACCGAAGAUGGAAUUGUGAGACAAAAGAAACAAAAAAAUUGUAACUGCUAGAGUACUAGAACAACAACCUAAUGUUUCAUUCAAAUUAGGGGCUGGGUAGGAAGCCAAAAUAAUGAAAUAUAUAGGUAAAAUAUAAUCAUAUUUACAUAAUCUUUCGCUACAUGAUGCAUAUUUAUCAUAGACAUUCAAGCAUGAAAUUGCCUAUAGAUGCUGAUAGCUCCCAGAAUAUAUCAAGAACAUAGUGGAGCUUUUCGAAAGUUAUUUUUUCCAAUAAUCCAAUCUUCUAGUAGUCAAAGUACUCAUUUCGAGAUGGCCAUACGCUAUUCAUGAUUCAUGCUAAUGCUAUAAGUAUAAAUUGUGAAUUGAACUAAAAUAUCAAAGAUAUUAUUUUAAGGAUUGGUGAGCUGAGGAGUUUAAACACUUUUGUAAUUCAAUAACCAGUACUGAAUUUGGGGAAAUAAUAUAAUAAGGUAUAUAAAAUUAUUCAUCAACAUUCAGUUUCUCCUAUAAUUCCAACUGUAUGUUCAGGGGUUUGCAUACCAUGAACGACGUUUGGAAUAUUUAUUCUGAGUACAAGGACUCUGGAGAAUUACCGGGCAAUAGACAUGUGUAAGCUUCGGAAAUCUGCAGCAAAACAUAAGUUCAGUCACUUAUCACGUCUUCCAGUUAACAAAGGGGAAUUACUGCCUUCAAAGUGUUCUAUGAAGAAAAAAACUCCCAACUAAAAUCAAUAUUACGGAAAUUAUUACAUUGACACACGAAUCUCUAAAACAGAUAAACAGCCACUAUAUUCAUUCAAGACACAAUUAACCUGUGAGGAUGUUAUGACGAACUUUUUAUGUUCUGAGUCACAUACUCAUAUCAGUUUCCUCUUUACAAUCACAACACACCUUAAGCCACAAGAUUAAAACACUAGAACAAUACUAGGCUUAUACCAAAUGUUGUAAUUUUGAAGAAACUAAAUUAGCCCACCCAAAUUGGCACCAGAGAUAAUCAAACCUGAGACCUUAAGGAGGAGCACACUCCCACGUCCCAAGCUAAUACCACCAGACCAACCUAAGUGGGUUGGCUUAUAACAAAUGUUGUAAUAUUAUGUCGAACUCCUAGAACAAAUUCCCCUCCUCUAACAAACAAAUAAACCACUAAUAAUUUACAUACAAAAAAAAAAAAAAAAUCUUGUGAAAUCCCCAAGAUCACCAUCACAAUUCAUCACCAAAAUUCUUAUGACGAAAUAGAAAAAAAAAGGAAAAGAAAUUGAUUGAAUUGCUGACUCACUGAUUUAAACUUGGACUCAGCAAGAGGCUUCUGAUGAGAUGGAAAUAGGUCAGGGUGAGAUUCCCAAACCUUCUGUUUGUAAGCUGAUUUAACCUAAACACAAACAUCAUCAAGUUAAUAAUUAAGAAAUGAUUGAAAAUUAGGGAAACAAAGCACGAAGAUGAUAAUUGGAAAAUUAUGAUAGUGAAUUAAAGAGGGUCGGGAUCAAAAAGUGAAAUUGAGUUGAUAAAGGGAUUGAAUUUAGAUUAUAGAAAUAGAAAUUGAAAGAAUAAUAAAAACCCUAAAAAGAAAGAAGUAACUACCUGGGAAGGAGUUGGACGCGAAUUGGGCGGGAAACCGAGUAGGAUUCUGGCUUCAUUUGCAUCCAUUUUUUAUUGAUUGUUUGUAACACUCACAACAACCUUAAUUAGGAAAAUCGUGUGUUUUUUCUUUUUGUAUUUCUUGCAUGUGGUUUAUAUCUUGUCAUAAGGGGUAAAAUAAAGUCUAGACACAAGACUAUUUUUCUUGAAUGGUCAAUUAUUCUUUUGCAAUUGAUUGUUUCUAUAGUUAAAUAUGGAGUUGAUAUAAUAUGAUUGAUCAGUAAAAAAAAUCAAAACAAAAAUGAAAAUUGAAGCUUAUAAUAUAGUUUAGUCUGAGCAAAAUUUGAUUUGUAUUUAUGGUGGAUCUCCUGGAUAAAAACAGGAAAGAUAAUUACAAAAAAAUAUCGAAUUGUCUGUGUGCCAUCAUUCAUAUUCAUGAGUAAGUUACAUGUUUAAUUAAUUUCCAACUUUGAAGUCAAGGGUGUGAGGAACAUCAAGAGCCUUCAACCAGGUGGCUGCAGAAGUGUUUUCAGCCUGGAGCCAAUUAGCAGUGGUGAAGUUUCUAGCCUCGUCCCGGCUAAUCUUACCACGAUAACCCUUCCACUUGAUCCUUCUGGAAGUAUCGGCACUAAGUCCAGUGUUGUCAUACUCUGCUAAGUAACAUGUGUCCAAAUAUAGAUCAGUACCGUCCUUAGCUUUCAUAGCGACCCAUCCAUCUGGAUUAAUAAAGUCACCCAUGAAGGAUUCCAUGAAGACUAUCCUUGCAUUUGUCUUCCAUGGCCUGCCCAAGUAAGUUUGGAUUUGGUGCCUUACAGGGAACAAUUCACGCUCUGCGACGAUCUUGCAGUCCUGGAUCACAAUACCAGUGUUCAACUUCUUGGAAUCUUCUGAUCCGUCUGCGGUAAUUGCGUUGAAUUGACCCUGCAUGGGCUUCCUUACGAUGAUCGUAGAGUGUUGGAUCAAGGUGUUAGACAUUCCAAAGAUGAAAUCGAUGGUACCAGAGAUCUCACAGUUGCGGUAGAAUUGCCUAUUGGAUUGAGCGUACAAGGUGUCUUGGUAACCUACGAUUUUGCAACCAAUGAAAGCAGACAUAUCUCCUAGGUUUCUCAAAGCAACAGCUUGUUCGCCAUCAGGACCAGCUGUGUUCUCAAAUGUCAUGUCCCUUGCAAUAAACCGCAAUGCAUCGUUGCCUGCACCCACGCAUGGAUAAUCAAUUAGUAAUGUCAUUCAUAAUGUAAAUAAAAUAAAGCUAUGACGAGAAUUGAAUUAUGUACCAAAGCUGGCGCCAUGAUUGAUAUCAAUUUUAUCCUUGGCUUCGUUCUUACUACCGGUUAUAAUGGUCUUUCGAGGGCCAUCGCCGUACAUAAGCAAGUUACGGCAAUCUUUGAGGACAGUGAUUUGCUCGUCAUAGACACCAGCCUUAACGUACAUAACAUAUCUUCCUUCGUUUCCCUUUGGGCAGUGAUUAAGAGCAUCCGUAAUUGUUUUAAAUUGGCCAGUACCAUCCUUGGCAACAACAACAUUAGGCUUAAUUUUCAAUCUCCAUCUUUUUCCUUGCUUUUGAGCUAAAAGCUUGCGAUCAGUAGCAGAGACCCAGGUAGGGAAUCCUUCCUCGAUAUCAAUUUCCUUAGAUAGAAGACGACGAGAGGCAGGUUUGAGAUCUAACUUCAAACCGAAUUCCUGGAGUAUGUUGGACAAAUCAGACACAAUGUCAAGAGCAACAACGGUGACCUUUGUCGCGCGGUCUAUAGUCUGAGCAUGCAAUUGAUCCUUCAUCUUCUUCUCAACCUCAUUUUCAUCGUCAAAUCCUUCCAUGCAAGCUUGUUUGUAAGAGAUAACUGCACUCAACCAAUUCCUGAGAUCAGCAUGUUGAGCAUGAACAGAUUGAAUGUUUUUGUCACGAACCACAGUGGUGGAGAGAUCGAGACUGUCCAAAGCAAACUCCAUCAUCUCUUUGCAGCCAGCAAGAACCAUCUUGGUGUGCCUAUCCUUGUCGCCGUACUCAACAAUGAGUCUAUCACUCAUGUUAAAUGCCUUAAUGACAUUGUCAGUGGCUGCUUUCACUGCAGCCGCUAUGUAUGCCUUAGGAUCUGAAGCGUCAGCGCCACGGAUAGAGCUAAGAGUUUCAUGGCAGAGUUUUUGGUCUUCUGCAUUUUGGCAAAUAACUCUAAGAGAUCUUUGUUGAGUUUGAAUCUCAGGAUCUUCACCUUUUUUGUGAACAGUAACAACAACACCGAUGGCAACACCUACAACAAGAAUAAGAGAAAUAACAGAUAUAAUUAUCUUUCCUGACAUUUUUUAAUAUUUUGCUCGGAAAUUUUAUUAGAAUAAGACCCCUUCCCCUUGGGUGUUGGGGUGGGGAGGCUUAUUCGAGAUCGUACUGAGAUAUGGAAACAUGUUUGGUUUUUAUAGCUAAACUCAAAAAAAAUUAAGCCAACCAAAGAGAAAAUCUAUAUUUAGCAAUUUCAUAAAUGAUAGGCACAUAAUUAUCGUUAGGAAUGAGUUGAAACAAUCUACUGCUAUUUUUUAGUACAGUAUAGCAUUUAUAUUUUAUAGUAUAUGAUUAUCCACCAUGCACUAUUUGAUAGAUCAGUCCAAAGAGAGAUAUAGAGAAAAUGAAAUGAAAUGCUCCAAUUUGAUCACAAUGAGUUUAUCAGAAUCACAUAUGCAUCGUAAUAUUUUAGAACANNNNNNNNNNNNNNNNNNNNNNNNNNNNNNNNNNNNNNNNNNNNNNNNNNNNNNNNNNNNNNNNNNNNNNNNNNNNNNNNNNNNNNNNNNNNNNNNNNNNNNNNNNNNNNNNNNNNNNNNNNNNNNNNNNNNNNNNNNNNNNNNNNNNNNNNNNNNNNNNNNNNNNNNNNNNNNNNNNNNNNNNNNNNNNNNNNNNNNNNNNNNNNNNNNNNNNNNNNNNNNNNNNNNNNNNNNNNNNNNNNNNNNNNNNNNNNNNNNNNNNNNNNNNNNNNNNNNNNNNNNNNNNNNNNNNNNNNNNNNNNNNNNNNNNNNNNNNNNNNNNNNNNNNNNNNNNNNNNNNNNNNNNNNNNNNNNNNNNNNNNNNNNNNNNNNNNNNNNNNNNNNNNNNNNNNNNNNNNNNNNNNNNNNNNNNNNNNNNNNNNNUUGAUCACAAUGAGUUUAUUAGAAUCACAAAUGCAUCGUAAUAUUUUAGAACAUGUACUUUUCAACUUUUGUAUAGUUUUUUUUUUUUGUUGGUUUUUCACCACCAGUUGAAUCUGGUUCGGGGUCAGUUCUGGCAUCAAUUNNNNNNNNNNNNNNNNNNNNNNNNNNNNNNNNNNNGUUGCGGGGGAUCGAUCUUUAGACUUUGAGUGCUCUAAACAACUAAUAAGAUGGAUUGAAAAGAAGGUUUCACUAGUCUUGAAAUUCUUCUUCCCAGUUUCAAUAGUUUUCCUCUUAAGGCUUGUUUUCUUCCAACCUUAGGUAGCAGAUUAUUGUUCUACAUCUGUUGAUGAUCAUUGCAGAUUUUUAAUUCUGUGGCAUUGCUUUCCCUGCUAUCUUUUCUCCACAAAUUGAUUUGAAGUAUAAGGGGUACUCGCCCCAGAAGAAAGUACAAUGAACACUAUAGCCAAUUACAUAUCUUAUACCAAAUCUUCAUCGCAAACUUACAUGUAAUUGCAUCUUCAGUUUUGCAUCUUCAGUUUUAGUGAAGGUUAUUUGCAGUAUUUGAAUACAAUAAUUAUAAUGUGGGUUGAACAAUAAUUUUAAGUGUAAAAAUCAAUUUUUGAAGUAGAGACUACAAUUUCUAACUUCAACUAGAACCUAUUUUACACUAGAGAAAUAAAACAUGUCAAAAUCAAUUAUACAUUUCUAGAAUCAAUCUUGGCCUCUCUAGAAGAACCAUUCAUAUAUUGUACUAAGCUUGAAAGAUAGUAUAUUUGAAAUAGUUAAGGACUGUUAUUAAGAAUGAUAAUUCACUAAGAAUAGAAAAUCAAGUUUUAACAAGAGUGAAAUGUAUAAGGCUUGACAUACCAAAUACUUUAUUUCUUUCGUAUUAACCCUCGGAUUUUCAGGAGAAGAGGUCCGGUUAUACAAAGUUUGGCCGCGAGGUAAAUAAAAUCUUACCAAGAAUUGUUCCCAUUAUAAAUCAAACUCGGAUUUUACCGAAUGAUUCGUCCUAGAAGAAACUCAUUAACCAGUUGUGCCCAAUUUUUUGGUUUGACUUGCUAAAUAGUUGAUCAUAAAUGUUUUUGUAUAACAAGUAACAAGAAACUAGAGUUAAGACCAAAUUUACUACAUAUUUGAUGGAAAUUAAAUCAGCACACAAAAAGAACUUCUUUAGUUAAAGGUAAUGAUUGGUUUACUUUAGCAUAUAUUUAGUUGAAGCUAACAAAACUGAUUUUCACAACAUAAGAAAUCAUGAAGAUUAUUACAUGUGCCCAGGAAGACAAAGGGAAGAAUAAAAUGGAUUGUCAUUCCUUCAAAGAAUCAGGAUGAGUUCACUUUGCAAUCACUGAUCAUGUAAACUUUUAUUGAUUCAAAUUAUUCAUUUUCACUUACAUUUAAAUAUAAUAUAUUGUAGGAGUAUAUACUAAGUAUUAAUAACCAUCAAUUGAAAUUGAAGUAUAUAAGAAUAAAGUUUCAGGCAUGCAUGAUUCCUGCUCAGGAGUCAUCAAGGAAGAAAUGGAUUGUGUGAAGGAUAGUCCUCCUUUUGCCUUUUGUAAGCCCUGCGCGACAGUAGCAUAUAGGUUUCGAUGUUAAUGAAUAACAAUCAUGCCACAUUUAAAUAAGGGAAAGAGAAGGAGGGAAAUUGCUUUUAAAUGAUGCACAGAACUGAGGAUUCGGAAUAGGAAUUCACCUGAAUUUGAAGCUUCUCCUUUUCCACCUGUGUUUUGAAUUUUAUUCAGUACUUAGAAAGAAGUUGCAUGACCAGAUAUAAAAAAAAAAAGCAGUAGGGAAGAUAAGGGCUAGUAUACUAGGACAACAACCUAAUGUUUCAUUCAAAUUAGGAGCUGGGGAGGAAGGCAAAAUAAUGAAAUAUAUAGGUAAAAUAUGAUCAUAUUUACUUAGUUUUUCGCUAUAUGGCCAUACGCUAUUCAUGAUUCAUGGGAUGCAAUGCUCUAAGUAUAAAUUGUGAAUUGAACUAAAAUAUCAAAGAUAUUAUUUUAAGGAUUGAUGAGCUGAGGAGUUUAAACACUUUUGUAAGUCAAUAACCAGUACUGAAUUUGGGGAAAUAAUAUAAUAAGGUAUAUAAAAUCAUUCAUCAACAUUCAGUUUCUCCUAUAAUUACAACUGUAUGUUCAGGGCUUCAUUUGCAUCCAUUUUUGAUUGAUUGUUUGUAACACUCACAAACAAAACACUCACAACCUUAAUUAGGAAAAUCGUGUGUUUUUUGAAUUUCUUGCAUGUGGUAUAUAUCUUGUCAUAAGGGGUAAAGUAAAGUCUAGACACAAGACUAUUUUUUUUGAAUGGUCAAUUAUUCUUUUGCAAUUGAUUGUUUCUAUAGUUAAAUAUGGAUUUGAUAUAUGAUUGAUCAGUAAAAAAAAUCAAAACAAAAAUGAAAAUUGAAGCUUAUAAUAUAGUUUAGUCGGAGCAAAAUUUGAUUUGUAUUUAUGGUGGAUUUCCUAGAUAAAAACAGGAAAGAUAAUUACAAAAAAAUAUCGAAUUGUCUGUGUGCCAUCAUUCAUAUUCAUGAGUAAGUUACAUAUUUAAUUAAGAUCUAACUUUGAAGUUAAGGUAGUUAGGAACAUGAAGAGCCUUCAACCAGGUGGCUGCGGAUGUGUUUUCAGCCUUGAGCCAAUUAGCAGCGGUGAAUCUUUCAGCCUCGUCCCGGCUAAUGAGACCGCGAUAACCCUUCCACUUGAUCCUUUUGGAAACAUCGGCACCAGGUCCUAUGUUGCCACUGGGUCCAGUGUUGGCAUACUCUGCUAUGUAACAUAAAUCCAUAUUUAUCUCAAUACCAUCCUUUAUCCAAGGGGUCCAUCCAUCUGGAUGAAUAAAGUCACCGAUGGUGGAUUCCAUGAAGACCAUCCUUGAAUAUGCCUUCCAUGGCCUGCCCAAGUAAGAUCUGAUUUGGGACUUUACCAAAUCUUCAUCUGUGACGAUCUCGCAGCCCUGGAUCACAAUACCAGUGUUCGUAUGCUGAGAAUCUACGGUUCCAUCUGCGGUAAUUGCGUUGAAUUGAUUGCUCUUGGGCUUCCUUACGAUGAUUUUAGAGUCUUGGAUCAAGGUGCUAGACAUUCCAAAGAUGAAAUCGAUGGUACCAGAGAUAACACAGUUGCUGUAGAAUUGCCUAUUGGAUUGAGCGUACAAGGUGUCUUGGUAACCUUUGAUUUCGCAACCAACGAAAGCAGACAUAUCUCCUAGGUUUCUCAAAGCAACAGCUUGAUUGCCAUCAGGACCGGCUGUGUUCUCAAAUGUCAUGUCCCUUGCAAUAAAUCGCUCUGCAUCGUUGCCUGCACCCACGCAUGGAUAAUCAAUUAGUAAUGUCAUCCAUAAUGUAAAUAAAAUAAAGUUAUGGCGAGAAUUGAAUUACGUACCAAAGCUGGCGUUGUCCACGAUCUCGACUUUAAGAAUGCCUUUGUUCAGACUACCAGUGAUAACGGUCUUUUGAGGGCCAUCACCGUACAUAAGCAAGUUACGGCAAUCUUUGUGGACAACGACUUGCUCUUUAUAGACACCAGCUUUAACGUAGAUAAUAUAUCUUCCUUCGAUUCCCUUAGGGUAAUCUUUACGGUAAGCAUUAAGAGCAUCCAUAAUGGUUUUAAAUUGGCCAGUACCAUCCUGGGCAACAACAACAUUAGGCUUAAUUUUCGAUCUCCAUCCUUUUCGUUGCAUUUGAGCUAAAAGCUUGCGAUCAGUAGCAGAGACCCAUGCAGGGAAUCCUUGCUCGUUAUCGAUUUCCUCAGAUAGAAGACGACGAGAGGCAGGUUUGAGAUCUAACUUCAAACCGAAUUCCUGGAGUAUGUUGGACAAAUCAGACACAAUGUCAAGAGCAACAACGGUGACCUUUGUCGCGCGGUCUAUAGUCUGAGCAUGCAAUUGAUCCUUAAUCUUCUUCUCAACCUCAUUUUCAUCGUCAAAUCCUUCCAUGCAAGCUUGUUUGUAAGAGAUAACUGCACUCAACCAAUUCUUGAGAUCAGCAUGUUGAGCAUGAACAGAUAGAAUGUUUUUGUCACGAACCACAGUGGUGGAGAGAUCAAGACUGUCCAAAGCAAACUCCAUCAUCUCUUUGCAGCCAGCAAGAACCAUCUUGGUGUGCCUAUCCUUGUCGCCGUACUCAACAAUGAGUCUAUCACUCAUGUUAAAUGCCUUAAUGACAUUGUCAGUAGCUGCUUUCACUGCAGCCGCUAUGUAUGUCUUAGGAUCUGAAGCGUCAGCGCCACGGAUAGAGCUAAGAGUUUCAUGGCAGAGUNNNNNNNNNNNNNNNNNNNNNNNNNNNNNNNNNNNNNNNNNNNNNNNNNNNNNNNNNNNNNNNNNNNNNNNNNNNNNNNNNNNNNNNNNNNNNNNNNNNNNNNNNNNNNNNNNNNUUUCAUGGCAGAGUUUUUGGUCUUCUGCAUUUUGGCAAAUAACUCUAAGAAAUCUAUGGUGAGUUUGAAUCUCAGGAUCUUCACCUUUUUUGUGAACAGUAACAACAACACCGAUGGCAACACCUACAACAAGAAUAAGAGAAAUAACAGAUAUAAUUAUCUUUCCUGACAUCUUUUUUCUCCUCCCCCUUGAGUGUUGGGCGAGGAGUCUUAUUGGAGAUCUCCCCUUGGGUGUUGGUUGGGGAGUCUGGAAACCUUGCUGAGAUAUGGAAACAUGUUUGGUUUUUAUAGGUAACUCAAAAAAAAUUCAGCCAACCAAUGAGAAAAUCCAUAUUUAGCAGUUUCAUAAAUGAUAGGCACAUAAUUAUCGUUAGAAAUGAGUUGAAACAAUCUACCACUAUUUUUAGUACAAUAGACCAUUUAUAUUUUAUAUAUAUAUAUAUAUAUAUAUAUAUGUAGGAAAUGACAAAUCUUUGAAUGAUAAAUGACUUCAAGUUGUAUACACCUUUUGUACAUUUCCAUCUGCUAGUGGGAAUUUUUGUUUGUAUAGAUAGAAAAUGGGUGCAACAUUUGCCAAUACUAGAAAAUUGGACUUCUCUAACAAUUUCUUGUUUCUAUUUCUUAUAGUUUAGAUCGGACUUUAGUUCUUUUGAAUGAGUCUAUAUGCAUUCAUUUGUUAAAGAAAAUAUUAUUCGAAGAAUUCUUAGACACUAAAUAUAAAUGUUUCUUUUCGAUAAAGAUUUAAAAAAAAAUUGGAUGAAUCUACUGUGUCGUAUUUAUAGAGGUAAAUUUAGUUGAAUAAUCAUUGGACAUAUAUGGAUGUCUCUUUUUAGAUGUAUAUUUAAUUGACUAAAUGAUUUUAUUCAUAACAAUCGAUUGAAUACAAUUUAAAAUAUUUAUAAAUGUAGCAGGACUAGGAUGAGAACAAUGAGACAAAAAUUCAAGAUUCUUAUUUAGUAAGUUCUUUCAAGAAGCCUUAGAAGGUUUUUUCGCUUGAAGAUCUUCCAAAAAUCUUGAAUUUCUUAGAAUCUUGAACUGGGAUGAAGAAAAAGCCUUAGAAGGUUUUUUUGCUUGAAGGUCUUCCAAGAAUCUUGAAUUUUCUUCAUCCCAGUUUUUCUCCUAAGGCUUGUUUUCUUCCAACCUUUGGUAGCAGAUUGUUGUUCUACUUCUACAUCUGUUAAUGAUCACUGCAAACUUUAGCCAACUAAAUCAAUCAGUGGGAUAUCGAUACACAAAUCUUAUACCAAAUCUUCAUCGCAAACUUACAUGUAAUACAAAUCGGAUACACAUGCAUCAAACUGCCUUGUAGUUUAUUUGGUUGUCAUUUUAAAUAAUGUGUUCUGAGCAUAUCUAUUUUAGUGAAGGUUAUUUGCAGUAUUUGAAAUAUGAACUAAAAGCUUGUUUGGUUAUUGAUCGAGUUAUUGAUUUUGUAAAAUUUAUUUUGACUAAAAUUGAAGUAAAGGUAAAAUGAUUUAAGUUUGAAAAUAUAAUAAUUAUAAAAAGUGGGUUGAACAAUAAUUUUAAGUGUAAAGAUCAAUUUUUGAAGUAGACUGUUGCAAAUUUGCCUUGAAAACGUGAAGAAAAACAACACUAGUCUGCUGUUUUCCGCCCCGGGCGAAAAACCUGUGUUUCGGGCGGAAAUUUGAAGCAGGAAAAAGGGGGCUCUCUGUUUUGGCGCCCCAGGCGGAAAUUUUGGUGUUUCAGGCGGAAAUUACGCCUCAGGCGGAAAAACCUGUGUUUCGGGCGGAAAUCGCUGCAGGGUAUUUAANNNNNNNNNNNNNNNNNNNNNNNNNNNNNNNNNNNNNNNNNNNNNNNNNNNNNNNNNNNNNNNNNNNNNNNNNNNNNNNNNNNNNNNNNNNNNNNNNNNNNNNNNNNNNNNNNNNNNNNNNNNNNNNNNNNNNNNNNNNNNNNNNNNNNNNNNNNNNNNNNNNNNNNNNNNNNNNNNNNNNNNNNNNNNNNNNNNNNNNNNNNNNNNNNNNNNNNNNNNNGACUGAACUGGGUAAACAAUUGCUUCGUGUUUUUUUUUUACAGUUUUAUUACUUAUCUUUUGUUCGUGAUUAUUAUUGCUAUUCCCACGUUUUGAUUGCUUAUUCGAUUUGCUCCACACAUCAAGAUUAUUGGUGUGAUUAUUAAAGAAUUCACAACAUAGACUAUUUUUGAAUUCAUAUACUGUACUAAGCUUGAAAGAUAAUAUAUUUGAAAUAGUUAAGGACUGUUAUUAAGAAUGAUAAUUCACUAAGAAUAGAAAAUCAAGUUUUAACAAGAAUGAAAUGUAUAAGGCUUGAUUUACCAAAUACUUUAUUUUCUUUAGUAUUAACCCUCUGAAUUUUGGGGAAGGGGUUCGGUUAUACAAAAUUAGGCUGUAAGGUAAGUAAAAUCUUACCAAGAAUUGUUCUCAUUAGAAAUCAAACUCAAAUUUUUCCGAACUAUUCGUCCUAGAGGGAAUUCAUUAACCACUUUUGCCCGAUUUUUUUGUUUGACUUGCCAAAUGCUUGAUGAUAAAUGUUUUUGUAUAACAAGUAACAAGAAACUAUAGCGUUAAGAUCAAAUUUUCAUAAAGGGAAAAUCGCUUGCUUUUUAGAUUUCUUGCAUGUGGUUUAUCUUGUCAUAAGGGGUAAAGUCUAGACACAGACUAUCUUUCUCAUCUCAACGUAAUUUGGUAAGUGUUUUUCUGAAUCCUAAUUUAGUAUANNNNNNNNNNNNNNNNNNNNNNNNNNNNNNNNNNNNNNNNNNNNNNNNNNNNNNNNNNNNNNNNNNNNNNNNNNNNNNNNNNNNNNNNNNNNNNNNNNNNNNNNNNNNNNNNNNNNNNNNNNNNNNNNNNNNNNNNNNNNNNNNNNNNNNNNNNNNNNNNNNNNNNNNNNNNNNNNNNNNNNAAAGUCUAGACACAGACUAUCUUUCUCAUCUCAACGUAAUGAGGUAAGUGUUUUUCUGAAUCCUAAUUUAGUAUAUUUUUUCUUGAAUGAUCAAUUAUUCCUUAGCAACUGAUUGUUUCUAUAGUCAAAUAUGGAAUUGAUAUAUAAUUGAUCAAAACAAAAAUGAAAAUUGAAGCUUAUAAUAUAGUUUAGUCCGAGCAAAUUUUGAUAUGUAUUUAUGGUGGAUCUCCUAGACAAAAUUAGGAAAGAUAAAUACAAAGAAUAACAAUUUGUCAGUGUGCCAUCAUUCGUAUUCACACUCUGUAAGUUACAUAUUUAAUUAAUUAAUUUUCAAGCUUUGAAGCCAAGGUAGUGAGGAACAUGAAGAGCCUUCAACCAGUCGGUUCCAGACUUGGGUCCAGCCUGGAGCCAUUCAGCAGCGGUGAAUCUCGUAGCUUCGGCCUGGCUAAUGGCACCGUGAUAACCCUUCCACUUGAUUCUUCCGGCAAUAUUGGCACCAGGUCCAGUGUUGGCAUACUCUGCAUAGUAAAGUGUGUUCAAAAAUUGAUCACCUGACCAAGGGGCCCAUCCAUCUGGAUGAAUAAAGUCACCAAUGGUGGAUUCCAUAACGACUGUCCUUGCAUAUGCCUUCCAUGGUCUGCCCAAGUAAGAUUUGAUUUGGAANNNNNNNNNNNNNNNNNNNNNNNNNCUGCUGAUCCGUCUGCGGUAAUUGUGUUGAAUUGGUUGUUGUUAGGCUUCCUUACGAUGAUCACAGAGUGUUGGAUCAAGGUGGGAGAUGUUCCAAAGAUGAAAUCAACGGUACCAGAGAUGACACAAUUGCGGUAGAAUUGCCUGUUUGUUUGAGUGUACAAGGUGUCUUGGUAACCUAAGAUAUGGCAACCAACGAAAGCAGCCAUAUCUCCUUGGUUUCUCAAAGCAACAGCUUGAUGACCAUCAGGACCGGCAGUGUUCUCAAAUGUCAUUGCCUUUGCGAUGAACCCAGUUGCGGUGUUGGCUGCACGCACGCAUGGAUAAUCAUUUAGUAAUGUCAUCCAUAAUGUAAAUAAAAUAAAAUAAAGUUAUGACAGGAAUUGAAUUAUGUACCAAAGGUGGCGGUUUGCAUGGUCUUGAUACCAUCCUUGCCAUAGUUCUUAUGACCGGUGAUAAUGGUCUUUUGAGGGCCAUCACCGUACAUAAGCAAGUUAACGCACUGUUUGGGGACAGUGAUGUACUCGUCAUAGACACCAGCCUUAACGUAUAUAAUAUAUCUUCCUUUGUUUCCUUUAGGGUAAGAAUUAAUAGCAUCCAUAAUUGUUUUAAAUUGGCCAGUACCAUCCUUGGCAACAACAACAUUAGGCUUAACUUUUGAUCUCCAUCCUUUUCCUUGCAUUUGAGCCAAAAGCUUGCGAUCGGUAGCAGAGACCCAUGCAGGGAAUCCUUGCUCGUUAUCGAUUUCCUCAGAUAGAAGACGACGAGAAGCGGGUUUGAGAUCCAAUUUCAAACCGAAUUCUUGGAGUAUGUUGGACAAACCAGUCACAACGUCAAGAGCAACAGCGGUGAUCUUUGUCGCGCGGUCUAUAGUCUGAGUUUGUAAUUGAUCCUUAAUCUUCUUCUCACCCUCUUUUUCAUCGUCAAAUCCUUCCAUGCAAGCUUGUUUGUAAGAGAUAACUGCACUCAACCAAUUCCUGAGAUCAGGAUUUUGGGCAUGAACAGAUUGAAUGUUGUUAUCACGAACCAAUGUGUUGGAGAGAUCAAGACUGUCUAAAGCAGACUGCAUCAAAUCUUUGCAAUCAUCAAGAGCCAUCUUGAUGCCGCUAUCUUUGUCGCCGUACUCAACAGUGAGUCUAUCACUCAUGUUAAAUGCCUUAAUGACAUUGUCAGUGGCUGCUUUCACUGCAGCCGCUAUGUAUGCCUUAGGAUCUGAAGCAUCAGCGCCACGGACAGAGCUAAGAGUUUCAUGGCAUAGUUUUUGGUCUUCUGCAUUUUGGCAAAUAACUCUAAGAGAUCUUUGGUGAGUUUGAAUCUCAGGAUCUUCACCUUUGUUGUGAACAACUACAACUACACCAAUGGCAACACCUACAACAAGGAUAAGCGAAACAACAGAUAUAAUUAUCUUUCCUGACAUUUAUUUUUAUUUUAUUUUUUUUGCUCAGAAAAUUUAUUAGAACACUAGCUUCUUUCCCUUUGUGUGAUUGGUUGGGGAGGUUUAUUGGAGAUCCCGCUGAGAUAUGGAAACAUGUUUGGUUAUUAUAGGUAACUCAAAAAAAAAUUAAGCCAACCAAAGAGAAAAUCUAUAUUUAGCAAUUUCACAAAUGAUAGGCACAUAAUUAUCGUUAGGAAUGAGUUGAAACAAUCUACUGCUAUUUUUUAGCUAAGUAUAGCAUUUUAUAUUUUAUAUAUGAUUAUCCACCAUGUACUAUUUGAUAGAUCAGUCCAAAGAGAGAUAUAGAGAAAAUGAAAUGAAAUGCUCUAAAAUUAGACCCACACACUUAUUUGCAUGUGUAGUCACUACUAGAAAUUUGUUAUUUUUCUGCUGCUUUGGGGAAAAAAAUCUGAAACAGGUUUCGUGCGGAUUCGGGUUCCAGCUAAAACCUUCAUGGAUAAUUGUUUCCUACGUUUUUUUGAAUCCCCAUGAAAUUUUCCUGCGAAAUUUUCUACCAAAAAUAAGAACAAAUCCGCAGGUAAAUCUGCAGUAAUACCCACAGGAAACGUGUUUUCGCAGGUAAAUUCGCAGGUAAAUUCGCAGGACAUUCUGCAGGAAACAUGUUUCUGUAAAAUCCGCAAGAACUUCCUAAUGAUAAUUUUUUUUAAUAAACAGAAAAAUGUUUUUUGUCUUUUACAAAAUAAAAAUGAAUAUUAAAAAACCAUUUAGUUAAAUUACUCUAGGAAUAUCCUAACAUAACAUUAAAUCAUCAAUGUCCUAAUCAUUAGCAUCCUAAUAUUAAGUAACAAAUUAAAAAGUCUUCAUCAAAAUGUCCUAAUCAUACUUAAAGUCUUCAUCAAAAUGUCUGGAAUCCUGAUCAUUAAUUAAGGUCUUCAAAUUCACUGUUGUCAUCUUCCAUAAGGUCUUCCUCAAAUUCAUUGUUGCCAUCUUCAUCUUCAUUAGUGAACUUUUCAUUGUUAGCUUGUGGUGGAUGAGAAUAAGAUACUACAAAUCCAAGAUGUUGCAUAAAAAAAGAGAGCUUCUUGUUUGUUUCCUUUAUCUCGUGCUCUUGUCGUUGCAAUUAAUGUUGCCUCAUCUGCAACUUCUCUUUGUUCUUGUCUUUGUAACGACUCAUUUAAAGCAUGAACUUAACCUCUUAUGAGUUAGCAACAACACUUGUAUGUGUAUAGUGUACCUAAGAAUUUCUCAGGAUAAGGACACUCUAUAAAGCCAUUACCACAAAAACAUAUAUAGUGAUGCAGGCCUAUCCAUAAUCCCAUUCUUCUAAUCACAUUAUAAAUUCUCUAGUUCUCUCCAUCUUCUAAUUAUAAAGCAAAGGGUAUAAAAAGACUUAUAUAAGCAGAUUCAGCAUGAUUCACCCACUCAACUUUGAUCCCUUUUCCGAUGAGUACGAAAAUAAAACUCUGAGAAGAUGAAUCUUCACCUUUUUCCUUUUUCUAUAAAUUAUAAAAAAAGGUUUAGUGUCAUUAAUUGUAAACACUAAAUUAUGAAAUAUUAUAAAAACUAAAUGAGACAGCUUCAAACAUGUUGUGCUGAAAUAAAUUUCAAAGACAGAAACAAGAAGCAUGAAUUGUCAUUGUAAAACUAACUGAAAAAUAACUGAUGAUACCAUUCUAUUCCAAUGCAAACGAUGAGUAAUUGAUCCGUCGGUGUGAAGAGAUGCACCGGCCAUAGAAUCGCGAUUUCUUUUAUUUGUUUCAGAUGAUUUUUUGAACUUGGACGACUUCCAAUAUUUUGUCAAGUCAUCCCACACUCUCUCUCCCAUCCAACUUGGUCUAUUUUCUAAAUCUUUUCGAACGUCUUGCAUUAUCUGCGACAUCUUAGCUGCACCCCUUUUAUCUAAAUCCUAACAUUAAUUACCUGAAAUAAGUCAAGGAACGUAUUUCUUUGCGUGAGUGAUAAUUGUUUCCAUGAAGGUUUGCCUUCGUCUAGAUGAGAGCGGAUUAUGUGAGCAAUUUCUUUAGUUAAAGGUAAUGAUUUGUUUACUUGCAUAUAUUUAGUUGAAGCAAAACUGAUUUUCACAACAUAAGAAAUCAUGAACAUUAUUAGAGUAAUUUCUUUUGAUAAUAGAGUAAUUUCAAUUACAAAGUCAAUCUAUUUCUCACUUGCAUACGAGAACGGCUAUUAUGUGAGAAUAGAUUGUUUUUUGGACUUCAGAAUAUAUUUUUAAGGCUAAGUGAGAGAUAAAGAUAAUGAAUAAAAUAUGAAAAUUGAAGCUUAUAAUAUAUUUUAGUCCGAGCAAAUUUUGAGAUGUAUUUAUGGUGAAUCUCCUAGACAAAAACAGGAAAGAUAAUUACAAAGAAUAACAAUUUGUCUGUGUGCCAUCAUUCAUAUUGUAAGUUACAUAUUUAAUUAAUUUUCAAGCUUUGAAGCCAAGGUAGUGAGGAACAUGAAGAGCCUUCAACCAAUCGGUUCCAGACUUGGGUCCAGCCUGGAGCCAUUCAGCAGCGGUGAAUCUCGUAGCUUCGGCCUGGCUAAUGGCACCGUGAUAACCCUUCCACUUGAUUCUUCCGGCAACAUUGGCACCAG